GAUGUACAAGUCAGGAUGACCUGAAUUAGAGCCCAAACCCGUCCCGUCGAGGUGGUUGGCAGCCUCAAUAAUUCUGAGAAGCUUUUCUGGGAGCCAUAUUUAUUUAUUUAAUAUAGACUUAAAUGGCAUUCCUUAAACCACUACUUUACCAGGCCAUCAGUGCAUGUUACGCUUAAAAUCAGUGCGUCCUACCGCCGCCUGGUGGCAAAACAUACAAAUCGCAACACGCAUUUGCAGAUCUCUGCUGCGGUUGAACUGUAGUAAAAUUCACGUGUAAAAAGAGUGUGAAUUGAGAGGCCUGUCUGAAUUGUAACUGAUGACUUGUCGGUAUAAGCAUUUACAGAUUUGUCUACACAUUCACAGAUAUAUGUACCCAUUUACAGAUUUGUCUACACAUUCACAGAUAUAUGUACCCAUUUACAGAUUUGUCUAUGCAUUUACAGAUUUGUCCAUACAUUAACAUAAUCUGAAUACACAUUUGCAGAUUCCUGUACACAUUCACAAAAUCAGUAUGCAUUUACAGAUUAAUUUACACAUUUACAAAUCUGAUUACACACACACAGAUUGAGAUACAGUUACACAACUCUCCACACACAUUUGUAAAUUGUUUUGCUACAAUAAUGCCCCCAUAAUCAGGGAGCUGUCUGUGGUGUUAAACAUCUCUCACAGCACCUCAUUUCACUAGGCACCAUGUUUAUACAGACAAAAACAUUUAUUUUCAAUGAAAAAACCCUACUUACUGCACGUUUAAUAAAAGAACUGUAAACCCUCCCCAAGACUACAUUUGAAAAAGCAGGCUGUCAAAGAACUUUCAAUGCCGAAUGACUUGCUGAGUGACUGACUACAGGGGCCCUUGUUAAAUAGCGUAGUGGUUAAAGACACGGACUGCCAUACAGGGGAUCGGAGAUCAAGCUUUGCCAUAGUCAAAACUAAUAAUUAAUUAGGAUUUGUUCAGGACAGACCAAAACUAUGCUGGCUUGAACCAGCAGUAUCUAUGUUAUAGUAAGCCUAAAAUAAAACUCUUUAUGGUCAAAUUGCGACUAUUUCUGUUGGAUUUUCAAAGAACGCAUCUGUGCAUGCUUUUUUGGGUAAUACAGAUCACAACCCAUUUGGCAGCAAAAUAGGUGUUUCCACAAUUCUCUUGUCUUUUCACUUGACAAAAAAGUCAGUUAUCGUCACCUAUAUUGAUAGUUUUUGUAUCCAUGUUAUUCUUGAAUGAAAGAAAAAAUAACGUUGUUGUGCCAUGAAUUUAAAUAGCUUGGCAGAGUAAAGAUAAUCUUCAGUCCUCUAGCAAUUGCUCAAUUCUUAUGACUAUUCCAAGUAGUAAAUUAGUAGAUACUAGUAAGCCUAUUACUAUAUAAUAAGCUUUUAAAACGGCCAGUGCCAAAAGCCACACAGUUCAUGGAUGCUGUUUGUGGUGGAAGUGAACUUAAGGAGAAAUAAUAAUCAGUUUAACACAGUGCUUAAUGGUGUCUAGUUAAAUAUUUAAACUUGGUGUGAUGUUAAUGCAUGACAAAAUGAUCUGAUGUUGGGUCAGAGGUUCUCUAGGAUCAGGUAAACGGUCAGUGUCAGAGGAUCUCUAGGCCCAGGUAAACAGUCAGUGGAUCUCUAGGAUCAGGUAAACAGUCAGAGGAUCUCUAGGACCAGGUAAACAGUCAGAGGAACUCUAGGACCAGGUAAACAGUCAGAGGAUCUCUAGGACCAGGUAAACAGUCAGAGGAACUCUAGGACCAGGUAAACAGUCAGAGGAACUCUAGGACCAGGUAAACAGUCAGAGGAUCUUUAGGACCAGGUAAACAGUCAGAGGAUCUUUAGGACCAGGUAAACAGUCAGAGGAUCUCUAGGACCAGGUGAACGGUCAGUGGAUCUCUAGGACCAGGUAAACAGUCAGUGUCAGAGGAUCUCUAGGACCAAUCAAGUGAACCAAGUUUGUU
Molecule: long non-coding RNA, 1934 nt
Organism: Esox lucius (northern pike)
Lineage: Eukaryota; Metazoa; Chordata; Actinopteri; Esociformes; Esocidae
Source: Ensembl